GAAUAAGAAGCGAUAAAUUGCAUUCAGUUUCGACCUGACCCUAGAUGAAUACAUCCUUAUUUAU
RNAcentral lists this transfer RNA (64 nucleotides) under Deracantha onos. RNAcentral describes it as "tRNA-Arg". The record is from RNAcentral. Lineage: Eukaryota; Metazoa; Arthropoda; Insecta; Orthoptera; Tettigoniidae.